CAAAGACCUCACAAACCUAAAGCUUUGUGUGUGUUUGUGUACACAUGCAUACACACAUGUACACAAUCAGAGUAACAUAUAGUAUGCACAAGAUGCUUUGAUACCACUUUAAUUGCCCCCCUUGCUCUGGGGCCUGUCUUUAUGGCAAACAGACCCAGAAUUGGUUGUGGGAGAGUGAGAUGACCACUGUCUCAGAACUAGACAAGCUGGUUCAAAUCCAGACUCUGCUGGCCAUGCCUGUUUGCUAGCCCCCACCCCCAUUCCUAGCCCUCCCCAUCUUUCACAUAAGAGCCUUGAUUCCAGAAUCUCCAAGCUUUGUGUCUCUUGGGAAAUUGUCUCUAAUCUAUUUUCGCUUGGAUUUGCAUGCACUCCACGCGAUUAUCAUCUGGCUGAGUUGAGUUUGCUCCUCUUUUGUUUGAUCUGAUGUUUGAUCUGAUCUGGUUUCGUAACACAAGCUCCAGCCAAUUUUAGCCCUUCUUGGAUUAUGGGAGUGUCAGAAUUAAGGUAUCAUAGCAUUUGUCACGGUUUCUGCUCAGGAUACGUGCCCCCCCUUUCCAUUUUGGCACAAGCCAAAACCCUCCCACUCCCUACAUGACUCCCUAAGUGGAGUCUGGUUUUCACAUUAGCUGAGAGAAGGCCCUGAAGUCAAAAAUCCUUGGCACAUGAGUCACUUUGUCUCUUUGUGCCUCAUUUCCCUCAUCUAUAAAUAGGAGGAGUCUCCCACUUUCUCAUCUCUCAGCAUGGAGGUGAUUUUAUGCAAAUCAAGAGCUCCUUCCCAGGAGCUGCUCUGAUUCACAGGUAGCCCCUCUCCUAGGUCCCAGAGGGGGAGAGGAGGUGGGUUCUCUAGCAAAUCAAUGUAUUUCUCAGUCUCCUUACUUCUUUUCCAGGCCCCCUGCAGAACAGACCCCCUUCAUUACUGCCUGAGUGAAGAAGCUUCCAAAGCAUAGGAGUCUGCCUGCUGCAGGAGCCCUCAUUAGCUCCCUAUUGCCUUCAGGGCAAAGUCUUCAGGGGUGGGUUCACAAGGAAGCACAGGGAAAACUCAGGCUGACAACUAAUAACGCACCCAAAGAUAUUACCCUUAUGGGGCCCAGACCCUUAAGGUGCAAGGCUGAGAAUUCAAAAAGGAAUAUAAUUGGGCCCCUGUGUUCAAGAAGCUUGCCCUCUUUUACAAAAAGUUGACAAGCACAAAAAAAUAACAUUUUACUUUUAAAUACCGGAAGUGCCUUAGCAAUCAUUGACCUUGCCCAAAUGACCCAUUCUAUAGAUGGAGAAGCCAAGCGAGGUCACAAAUUUUAAGGAAAAGCACAUUUUCCCUAAUAGGUCUCCCUGCUUCCACUCUGCCCCUCCACUGCUAGAGGGAGAGUCAUUCUUCUGAGCAGAAUGUGACCUGGUCACUCUCCAUGUAAAACCUUUCUAUACCCCUUCCCAUGUACAAAAGGAGCCAGACUUCUUCCUGGCUGAUGGAGAGUAAAGAGAAGCCUUGCUUGAAUCUCAGGCUUCUUGUGGCAUUCAGCCUCAGCUCUGAGGGCACCCUUCAGGGCUGAGUCCCCCACCAUCAUAGGUGCAGGGAAGAGGUCCAUCUCAGUUGCUCUGUCCCUGUCACCUGACUGAAGUUCUCACAGUAGGUGCGCAUACACACCAUCUCCCUUGCUUACAUUGUUCUUGUUCACUGUCUGCAAGCACUGGCUAGAGGGUAAGUUGCCAGAGGGCCAGAAGUUGCCUCUGUCUCCAGUGUCUAGAACAGUGUCUAGAAAGUUGAUAUGUAAGAAAUAUUUCUGGAGUGACUUAAACAAAUGAAUACAUACUGAAGGAAAUCUGCAAAUGCAGGAUAGUAUAAAGAAGAAAAUAAAAACCACACAUACUUCCUUCUGGGUGUUCCUUCUGUUAACAUUUUGGAAUAUUUCCUUUUAAUCUUCCCAGUUCUUUAUAUAUCUGGUAUACAGUAUAUAUUUAAUAAAAUUGAGAUGAUGCUAAUGUGUCCUUUGUAUGCUGCUUUUUUUCACUUAUGAUUACAUUGUAUGUCCACAUGUUGUGAAAUAGUCUUUUAAAAUGCUAUGUUCAAUGCUGCCAAAUAGUUCACCAACAUGUCAAAAUUAAGUAUUUGCUAUUACGGAUACUGAUAACUUGAUUUUUUUUCUAAUUGAUCUACCCUCUGGCUAAACCAUCCUAAUAGGACCUGACAGUUAAUAUCCUCAGGUAACUGUUCCUAGCUGUGAACAAUUGGGUAAAAGAUGUUAAGUUACUUUCCAGGAAAUGUCAACAGACCCAUCUUUAGUGUUGUUUUUUUCUGCAGCCUCUUACAACGGCGAUUGACCUUCUUAUUAAGUCAAAAGUUUGUGGUUAGUUGGGGGUUGUGUUUCUAAAACUUCCUGAU
Molecule: long non-coding RNA, 2374 nt
Filed under: Marmota monax (woodchuck)
Lineage: Eukaryota; Metazoa; Chordata; Mammalia; Rodentia; Sciuridae
Source: RNAcentral